GACGUAGGGCGCGAGCGUUGUCCGGAUUUAUUGGGCGUAAAGAGCUCGUAGGCGGCUUGUUGCGUCGACCGUGAAAACCCGGGGCUCAACUUCGGGCUUGCGGUCGAUACGGGCGGGCUAGAGUUCGGUAGAGGAGACUGGAAUUUACGGUGUAGCGGUGAAAUGCGUAGAUAUCGUAAGGAAGACCAGUGGCGAAGGCGGGUCUCUGGACAGUUCCUGACGCUGAGGCACGAAGGUCAGGGGAGCAAACGGG
This 253-nucleotide ribosomal RNA is filed under the name uncultured bacterium. Its description in RNAcentral is "partial 16S ribosomal RNA". It matches the Rfam family "Bacterial small subunit ribosomal RNA", at positions 524 to 776 of the family's 1533-position model. The record is from RNAcentral.